RNAcentral lists this ribosomal RNA (845 nucleotides) under Burkholderia sp. Its description in RNAcentral is "bacterial SSU rRNA". It matches the Rfam family "Bacterial small subunit ribosomal RNA", at positions 30 to 876 of the family's 1533-position model. Lineage: Bacteria; Pseudomonadati; Pseudomonadota; Betaproteobacteria; Burkholderiales; Burkholderiaceae. The record is from RNAcentral.
UGAGCUGCGGCAUCCUUACACAUGCAAGUCGAACGGCAGCACGGGAGCAAUCCUGGUGGCGAGUGGCGAACGGGUGAGUAAUACAUCGGAACGUGUCCUGUAGUGGGGGAUAGCCCGGCGAAAGCCGGAUUAAUACCGCAUACGCUCUACGGAGGAAAGGGGGGGAUCUUAGGACCUCUCGCUACAGGGGCGGCCGAUGGCAGAUUAGCUAGUUGGUGGGGUAAAGGCCUACCAAGGCGACGAUCUGUAGCUGGUCUGAGAGGACGACCAGCCACACUGGGACUGAGACACGGCCCAGACUCCUACGGGAGGCAGCAGUGGGGAAUUUUGGACAAUGGGGGCAACCCUGAUCCAGCAAUGCCGCGUGUGUGAAGAAGGCCUUCGGGUUGUAAAGCACUUUUGUCCGGAAAGAAAACCUGCGCCCUAAUAUGGUGGGGGGAUGACGGUACCGGAAGAAUAAGCACCGGCUAACUACGUGCCAGCAGCCGCGGUAAUACGUAGGGUGCAAGCGUUAAUCGGAAUUACUGGGCGUAAAGCGUGCGCAGGCGGUCCGCUAAGACAGAUGUGAAAUCCCCGGGCUUAACCUGGGAACUGCAUUUGUGACUGGCGGGCUAGAGUAUGGCAGAGGGGGGUAGAAUUCCACGUGUAGCAGUGAAAUGCGUAGAGAUGUGGAGGAAUACCGAUGGCGAAGGCAGCCCCCUGGGCCAAUACUGACGCUCAUGCACGAAAGCGUGGGGAGCAAACAGGAUUAGAUACCCUGGUAGUCCACGCCCUAAACGAUGUCAACUAGUUGUUGGGGAUUCAUUUCCUUAGUAACGUAGCUAACGCGUGAAGUGACCGCCUGG